GCUCCCCUGGCGUAAUGGUAACGCGUUGGACUUCUACAGCUAGGAUGGUUUUGCUGUAAUCCAAAGACUGCGGGUUCGAGCCCCGCGGGGAGUG
Molecule: transfer RNA, 94 nt
Organism: Puccinia sorghi
Lineage: Eukaryota; Fungi; Basidiomycota; Pucciniomycetes; Pucciniales; Pucciniaceae
Rfam family: tRNA
About the family: Transfer RNA (tRNA) molecules are approximately 80 nucleotides in length. Their secondary structure includes four short double-helical elements and three loops (D, anti-codon, and T loops).
Source: Rfam